RNAcentral lists this long non-coding RNA (270 nucleotides) under Elaeis guineensis (African oil palm). RNAcentral's name for it is "long non-coding RNA (EGUI_LNC053719)". Lineage: Eukaryota; Viridiplantae; Streptophyta; Magnoliopsida; Arecales; Arecaceae. The record is from RNAcentral.
CAAUAAGCGAUCUCCAUCCGAGCUUCCAUGGCAACCGAUCUCCAUCCGAGCUUCUACAGUAAGCGAAUUCCAUCCAAACUUCCACGACAAUCGGUCUCCAUCCGAGCUUCUACAAUAAGCGGUCUCCAUUUGGGCUUCCACGGCAAUCGAUCUCCAUCCGAGCUUCUAUAGUAAGCGGCCUCCUUUCGGACAUCUGCAAGAAUCGGACUCCGUCCGAACUUCUACAGUGGAUGGAUUCAAGAUGAACUUCUACAACGGACGGGCUCCAGC